This 460-nucleotide ribosomal RNA is filed under the name uncultured bacterium. RNAcentral describes it as "partial 16S ribosomal RNA". It matches the Rfam family "Bacterial small subunit ribosomal RNA", at positions 338 to 795 of the family's 1533-position model. The record is from RNAcentral.
CCUACGGGAGGCAGCAGUGAGGAAUAUUGGUCAAUGGACGAGAGUCUGAACCAGCCAAGUAGCGUGAAGGAUGACUGCCCUAUGGGUUGUAAACUUCUUUUAUAUGGGAAUAAAACGUUCCACGUGUGGGAUUUUGUAUGUACCAUAUGAAUAAGGAUCGGCUAACUCCGUGCCAGCAGCCGCGGUAAUACGGAGGAUCCGAGCGUUAUCCGGAUUUAUUGGGUUUAAAGGGUGCGUAGGUGGAUUGUUAAGUCAGUUGUGAAAGUUUGCGGCUCAACCGUAAAAUUGCAGUUGAAACUGGCAGUCUUGAGUACAGUAGAGGUGGGCGGAAUUCGUGGUGUAGCGGUGAAAUGCUUAGAUAUCACGAAGAACUCCGAUUGCGAAGGCAGUUCACUGGACUGCAACUGACACUGAGGUUCGAAAGUGUGGGUAUCAAACAGGAUUAGAUACCCUUGUAGUC